UCUCUUCGCUCCGUCGAUCGAUUCCCGAUCCCCGAUCCCCCGCCCCCUCCUCCCUUGAAAUCUUGGAGGUUCGGCUCUGUUCGAUCAGGAAGGAAGCUGCUUGUUUGCCUACGGUUCUCCUUUGCUGUUGCUCGUUCUCGGACCUCUCGCUGUUGAAAGAUACUUGUGCAGAGGCUUGUCUACAGGGAAUCGCCCCACCUGUGACCAGUGCCUGCGGAUUCACGAAAGACUCACGGAGAGGGCCGGCUUGAGGUGCAUACUUCGUUCCCUAGCAGACACCACAAAUACAGUAUGAUGAUUAUUGCUAUCGUGAUCUGAAGAGAGAAAAGUGCCCACUGUAUGAUUCCUCGCCUCCUUUUCCUGUAGAUUUGGGCUGUGGUGUAUCCGUCAUUGACAUGAAUGUGAUCAGUAUUACGCUUUAUUACAAAGUAUCAUCUCUGAGUCCUUACAAAGCUAAACUUGCUUCGGAUUGCCAGAGAACAUGCAUUCUAUCAUUUCGAGGAGUUGAGCAUUUGUCUACCCUUGA
Eucalyptus grandis is the source of this 526-nucleotide long non-coding RNA. RefSeq lists it as uncharacterized. The record is from RefSeq and is a predicted model, not a curated record. The transcript has 3 exons. Lineage: Eukaryota; Viridiplantae; Streptophyta; Magnoliopsida; Myrtales; Myrtaceae.